This 406-nucleotide ribosomal RNA is filed under the name uncultured bacterium. Its description in RNAcentral is "partial 16S ribosomal RNA". It matches the Rfam family "Bacterial small subunit ribosomal RNA", at positions 30 to 526 of the family's 1533-position model. The record is from RNAcentral.
AUUGAACGCUGGCGGCAGGCCUAACACAUGCAAGUCGUGCGAGCGGCGGACGGGUGAGUAAUGUAUGGGGAUCUGCCUGAUGGAGGGGGAUAACUACUGGAAACGGUAGCUAAUACCGCAUACCAUCCGAUGCACCCAUAUGGGAUUAGCUAGUAGGUGAGGUAAAGGCUUACCUAGGCGACGAUCCCUAGCUGGUCUGAGAGGAUGAUCAGCCACACUGGUACUGAGACACGGCCCAGACUCCUACGGGAGGCAGCAGUGGGGAAUAGUGCACAAGGGGCGCAAGCCUGAUGCAGCCAUGCCGCGUGUAUGAAGAAGGCCUUCGGGUUGGAAAGUACUUUCAGUCGGGAGGCGUGACCGACAGAAGAAGCACCGGCUAACUCCGUGCCAGGAGCCGCGGUAAUUC